RNAcentral lists this ribosomal RNA (253 nucleotides) under uncultured bacterium. RNAcentral describes it as "partial 16S ribosomal RNA". It matches the Rfam family "Bacterial small subunit ribosomal RNA", at positions 524 to 776 of the family's 1533-position model. The record is from RNAcentral.
UACGUAGGGCGCAAGCGUUGUCCGGAAUUAUUGGGCGUAAAGAGCUCGUAGGCGGUUUGUCGCGUCUGCUGUGAAAACCUAAGGCUCAACCUUGGGCUUGCAGUGGGUACGGGCAGACUAGAGUGCGGUAGGGGUGACUGGAAUUCCUGGUGUAGCGGUGGAAUGCGCAGAUAUCAGGAGGAACACCGAUGGCGAAGGCAGGUCACUGGGCCGCAACUGACGCUGAGGGGCGAAAGCAUGGGGAGCGAACAGG